This 1678-nucleotide ribosomal RNA is filed under the name Citrobacter sp. Cf140. RNAcentral's name for it is "partial 23S ribosomal RNA". The record is from RNAcentral. Lineage: Bacteria; Pseudomonadati; Pseudomonadota; Gammaproteobacteria; Enterobacterales; Enterobacteriaceae.
GCUGGAGGUAUCAGAAGUGCGAAUGCUGACAUAAGUAACGAUAAUGCGGGUGAAAAACCCGCACGCCGGAAGACCAAGGGUUCCUGUCCAACGUUAAUCGGGGCAGGGUGAGUCGACCCCUAAGGCGAGGCCGAAAGGCGUAGUCGAUGGGAAACAGGUUAAUAUUCCUGUACUUGGUGUUACUGCGAAGGGGGGACGGAGAAGGCUAUGUUAGCCGGGCGACGGUUGUCCCGGUUUAAGCAUGUAGGCGGAGGUUCCAGGUAAAUCCGGUACCUUUUUAACGCUGAGGUGUGAUGACGAGGCACUACGGUGCUGAAGUAACAAAUGCCCUGCUUCCAGGAAAAGCCUCUAAGCAUCAGGUAACAUCAAAUCGUACCCCAAACCGACACAGGUGGUCAGGUAGAGAAUACCAAGGCGCUUGAGAGAACUCGGGUGAAGGAACUAGGCAAAAUGGUGCCGUAACUUCGGGAGAAGGCACGCUGAUAUGUAGGUGAAGCGGUUUACCCGUGGAGCUGAAAUCAGUCGAAGAUACCAGCUGGCUGCAACUGUUUAUUAAAAACACAGCACUGUGCAAACACGAAAGUGGACGUAUACGGUGUGACGCCUGCCCGGUGCCGGAAGGUUAAUUGAUGGGGUUAUCCGUAAGGAGAAGCUCUUGAUCGAAGCCCCGGUAAACGGCGGCCGUAACUAUAACGGUCCUAAGGUAGCGAAAUUCCUUGUCGGGUAAGUUCCGACCUGCACGAAUGGCGUAAUGAUGGCCAGGCUGUCUCCACCCGAGACUCAGUGAAAUUGAACUCGCUGUGAAGAUGCAGUGUACCCGCGGCAAGACGGAAAGACCCCGUGAACCUUUACUAUAGCUUGACACUGAACACUGGUCCUUGAUGUGUAGGAUAGGUGGGAGGCUUUGAAGUGUGGACGCCAGUCUGCAUGGAGCCAUCCUUGAAAUACCACCCUUUAAUGGCUGGUGUUCUAACGUGGACCCGUAAUCCGGGUUGCGGACAGUGUCUGGUGGGUAGUUUGACUGGGGCGGUCUCCUCCUAAAGAGUAACGGAGGAGCACGAAGGUUAGCUAAUCCUGGUCGGACAUCAGGAGGUUAGUGCAAAGGCAUAAGCUAGCUUGACUGCGAGAGUGACGGCUCGAGCAGGUGCGAAAGCAGGUCUUAGUGAUCCGGUGGUUCUGAAUGGAAGGGCCAUCGCUCAACGGAUAAAAGGUACUCCGGGGAUAACAGGCUGAUACCGCCCAAGAGUUCAUAUCGACGGCGGUGUUUGGCACCUCGAUGUCGGCUCAUCACAUCCUGGGGCUGAAGUAGGUCCCAAGGGUAUGGCUGUUCGCCAUUUAAAGUGGUACGCGAGCUGGGUUUAGAACGUCGUGAGACAGUUCGGUCCCUAUCUGCCGUGGGCGCUGGAGAAUUGAGGGGGGCUGCUCCUAGUACGAGAGGACCGGAGUGGACGCAUCACUGGUGUUCGGGUUGUCAUGCCAAUGGCAUUGCCCGGUAGCUAAAUGCGGAAGAGAUAAGUGCUGAAAGCAUCUAAGCACGAAACUUGCCCCGAGAUGAGUUCUCCCUGAGACUWUAAGUCUCCUGAAGGAACGUUAAAGACGAUGACGUUGAUAGGUCGGGUGUGUAAGCGUAGCGAUACGUUGAGCUAACCGAUACUAAUGAACCGUGAGGCUUAACCUU